Vespa crabro (European hornet) is the source of this 1837-nucleotide long non-coding RNA. RefSeq lists it as uncharacterized. The transcript is spliced from 2 exons. The record is from RefSeq and is a predicted model, not a curated record. Lineage: Eukaryota; Metazoa; Arthropoda; Insecta; Hymenoptera; Vespidae.
ACAACAAAACUAUGACGAAUGUUUAAGCUUUCGAUAUUUUAAAAAUAUACGAAAAAGAAAACGUCCAUUUAAUAUCUCUAAUUUAAUAUCAAUUGAUUUAAUAUUUCCCUCGUUCGAUAUAUCGUUUUACUAAGAUAUCGUUUUCGACAUCGAUACAUUGUCAGAAUCGAUUUCUUCGUAAUUUCUGUGAAUCUCUCUCUCUCUCUCUCUCUCUCUCUCUCUCUCUCUCUCUCCCAUCCCCAUCGUCAUUGUAUCUUCGAACGACGGUUACAAGAAAAUGGUGUUGCGAUCUCGCGUCCCGUAGUCGCGCCUGCGCACAAAGACUUCUAGAUGCAUUCCACGAACGUGUAGCUCAACCUGAUUAUAAGCAAACUGUACCAAUGUAAUAUCCGCAUGAUUAACUUUGUCUCUCUUUGUCUAUACAUUAUCGCGUGCGUGCAUGCGUAUACAAAUUUGUUCAUGCAUAAAUGCAAAAGAAACUGCGUAGAAAAAAAAGAUGUUAAUUAAAAAAUUGGGGAAGAAAUAAAAACAACAAUAGCGCAAGAUCAUAUAUUCUUCGAUGUCUUGUAAUUCAUUUCAAUAAAAAUACAAGUAUAAAAGUUCGAAGGAAAAAAAAAACAAAUUCGACUUUCCCGCAUUUACUGUACGUCAGAUAUAAAGAAUUCUUCUUUACCGACCGUAAUUGAUUAAUUCAUUGCUUCGAGAUUCGUAUUUCGCCCCCAAACGCAAAAGGAAAUGUUAUUUGGCGCGCACAUGAAAAGGCAAAAGAUGCGGCGUAAAAAACGCAUGUGAGUACUGCUCGAAAAGCAGUUACGCGUGCGCCCAACACGAUAAUAUAUAGUAAGGGAGAACACGAGCGCACAACGUGCAGUGAGCCGUAUAUAAAGGUCUGAUUGCUGGACACCCGGUGAAAUAUGCCAGUCUCCGCCAAUAACCGGUAUCUUUCUUUGCUUUCUAUCUCUUUCUAACCCUCGUUCUUCCACUGAAUUUGUUCUCUCUCUCUCUCUCUCUCUCUCUCUCUCUCUCUCUCUCACUUAUCCUCUUUAUUCUUUCGCUGUCUUCGUCGAGAGUGCGAGGGAGAAUGAGAGAAGAGAGCUACAAGAGCGGUAAUCCGAGAGGGAGAGGAGAGAAGAAGAGAGGAGCGAAGAAGGAAAGAAACGAAAAGAAAGGAUGCUGGAGAAGAGAAUGGAGACGGUGAAAAGAGGCAAUACUGUGCAUUGGACGGUGAUAUUACACCGAUGACGGCACUUUCUCUCUCUCUCUCUUUCUCUUCUUUUCUCCUUUCUGUAAAAUUUGUAAAAUAUCGACUCUUAUAUUUUUCUGUAUAUCUUUUAUCAGAAAUAAAGUAUCAUUGGUUAACUAAAAGCUUUAUUAUUGUAUCGUGUAUUACUCUGCGUAAUCGGUACUUAAGAUAUUUUUUAACGAACAUUUGUUUGAUAUAAAAUGAAUGACAGGAAAAGUGUGUACAUAUAUAUAUAUAUAUAUAUAUAUAUUGUAGGAAGUUAGAAAUCAGACGGAAAGAACGUUUAUCUCAUUGAUGUAAAUUACAUCGCGAAGAACGCUGUUCCUUCCCCCUUUCUUCUUUCUUUUUUCUCUUUUGCUUGGAACAGUCAACGAUGUUACUGCUGUUCUGCUGUUGCUACUAUACUACUAAUGUCGAUCUCAUCACCGCACCACAGGGAACGGUUUUGAACUGUGGUUCUGUAGAUUAAUCACUUAGGAAUGCGAGACCGCAGGACGAAUCGAGACAAGCAUGUGGUAUUAUAUACUAAAGGUGCAUUGAUUUCUACAGUCGUUUAGAGAGAGAGAGAGAGAGAGAGAGAGAGAGAGAGAGAGA